CCAGUCGGGCCGUAGUCCGUGGGUUAUCAACUGCACCUUGACCCUCCCAUGGACAUCUUUUGCCCGUCUC
Molecule: small RNA, 70 nt
Filed under: Chondromyces crocatus
Lineage: Bacteria; Pseudomonadati; Myxococcota; Polyangiales; Polyangiaceae
Description: Nematode sRNA ceN72-3_ceN74-2
Rfam family: Nematode sRNA ceN72-3_ceN74-2
Source: Rfam by way of RNAcentral